Molecule: microRNA precursor, 130 nt
Filed under: Pelobates cultripes (western spadefoot toad)
Lineage: Eukaryota; Metazoa; Chordata; Amphibia; Anura; Pelobatidae
Source: RNAcentral
UAUCUGUCUGAGCUUAUCUGAAUGCUGUCUGUCUGUCUAUAUACCUGUCUGUGCUUAUCUGAAUGCUGUCUGUCUGUCUAUAUAAGCACAGACAGGUAUAUAGACAGACAGACAGCAUUCAGAUAAGCAC